RNAcentral lists this ribosomal RNA (720 nucleotides) under uncultured bacterium. RNAcentral describes it as "bacterial SSU rRNA". It matches the Rfam family "Bacterial small subunit ribosomal RNA", at positions 8 to 716 of the family's 1533-position model. The record is from RNAcentral.
AGAGUUUGAUCCUGGCUCAGGAUGAACGCUAGCUACAGGCUUAACACAUGCAAGUCGAGGGGCAGCAUGGACCCAGUUUUGCUGGGUUUGAUGGCGACCGGCGCACGGGUGAGUAACGCGUAUCCAACCUGCCCUUUACUCCGGGAUAGUCUCCUGAAAGGGAGUUUAAUACCGGAUGUGUUUGUCUUUCCGCAUGGGAGCGACAAAUAAAGAUUGAUUGGUAAAGGAUGGGGAUGCGUCCCAUUAGCUUGUUGGCGGGGUAACGGCCCACCAAGGCGACGAUGGGUAGGGGUUCUGAGAGGAAGGUCCCCCACAUUGGAACUGAGACACGGUCCAAACUCCUACGGGAGGCAGCAGUGAGGAAUAUUGGUCAAUGGGCGGGAGCCUGAACCAGCCAAGUAGCGUGAAGGAUGACGGCCCUACGGGUUGUAAACUUCUUUUAUAAGGGAAUAAAGUUCGCCCCGUGUGGUGUUUUGUAUGUACCUUAUGAAUAAGCAUCGGCUAAUUCCGUGCCAGCAGCCGCGGUAAUACGGAAGAUGCGAGCGUUAUCCGGAUUUAUUGGGUUUAAAGGGAGCGUAGGCGGGCUUUUAAGUCAGCGGUCAAAUGCCACGGCUCAACCGUGGCCAGCCGUUGAAACUGCAAGCCUUGAGUCUGCACAGGGCACAUGGAAUUCGUGGUGUAGCGGUGAAAUGCUUAGAUAUCACGAAGAACUCCGAUCGC